GACGAACGCUGGCGGCGUGCUUAACACAUGCAAGUCGAACGGUAAGGCCCUUCGGGGUACACGAGUGGCGAACUGGUGAGUAACACGUGGGUGAUCUGCCCUGCACUUCGGGAUAAGCCUGGGAAACUGGGUCUAAUACCGGAUAGGACUCCGGACUGCAUGGUCUGGGGUGGAAAGCUUUUGCGGUGUGGGAUGGGCCCGCGGCCUAUCAGCUUGUUGGUGGGGUGAUGGCCUACCAAGGCGACGACGGGUAGCCGGCCUGAGAGGGGGACCGGCCACACUGGGACUGAGAUAGUGCCCAGACUCCUACGGGAGGCAGCAGUGGGGAAGAUUGCACAAUGGGCGCAAGCCUGAUGCAGCGACGCCGCGUGAGGGAUGACGGCCUUCGGGUUGUAAACCUCUUUCAGCAUCGACGAAGCGAAAGUGACGGUAGGUGCAGAAGAAGGACCGGCCAACUACGUGCCAGCCGCCGCCGUAA
RNAcentral lists this ribosomal RNA (478 nucleotides) under uncultured bacterium. RNAcentral's name for it is "partial 16S ribosomal RNA". It matches the Rfam family "Bacterial small subunit ribosomal RNA", at positions 28 to 523 of the family's 1533-position model. The record is from RNAcentral.